RNAcentral lists this unclassified non-coding RNA (371 nucleotides) under soil metagenome. RNAcentral's name for it is "partial contains 5.8S ribosomal RNA, internal transcribed spacer 2, and large subunit ribosomal RNA". The stretch from base 1 to 120 matches the Rfam family "5.8S ribosomal RNA", at positions 35 to 154 of the family's 154-position model. The record is from RNAcentral.
GAUGAAGAACGUAGCGAAAUGCGAUAAGUAAUUUGAAUUGCAGAAUUCAGUGAAUCAUCGAAUCUUUGAACGCACAUUGCGCCCCCCGGCAUUCCGGGGAGCAUGCCUGUUCGAGCGUCUCUUGGAAUACCCCUCACGCCGGCGGAGGCGUGGUCAUGGCGGCGGUGGCGUGCCCCGAGAGGGAGGCCACCGCGCUGGAAUCCAUGGGCGGACGCCUGCCGCGUGGCCGAGCGUGAUAAGACGCACUGGCGCUCGCGCGCGGCGAGGCUGCCGGCCCUGGCCCGCUCGUCGGGCGGGGACAGCAACACUUGGGAACUCCUCGAAUCAGGUAGGGAUACCCGCUGAACUUAAGCAUAUCAAUAAGCGGAGGA